Molecule: ribosomal RNA, 115 nt
Filed under: Anolis carolinensis (green anole)
Lineage: Eukaryota; Metazoa; Chordata; Lepidosauria; Squamata; Anolidae
Source: RNAcentral
CAUAAGGGUCUAAAUACCCUAAAAACUCUGGAUCCCAUAUGAUCUUGGAAGUUAAACAGGGUCAAUGCUUGGUACUUGGAUGGGAGACUGCCAAGGCAUACCAGGUGCUGUAUGC